RNAcentral lists this transfer RNA (66 nucleotides) under Deltaproteobacteria bacterium. RNAcentral's name for it is "tRNA-Ser". It matches the Rfam family "tRNA". Rfam says of the family: Transfer RNA (tRNA) molecules are approximately 80 nucleotides in length. Their secondary structure includes four short double-helical elements and three loops (D, anti-codon, and T loops). Further hydrogen bonds mediate the characteristic L-shaped molecular structure. tRNAs have two regions of fundamental functional importance: the anti-codon, which is responsible for specific mRNA codon recognition, and the 3' end, to which the tRNAs corresponding amino acid is attached (by aminoacyl-tRNA synthetases). tRNAs cope with the degeneracy of the genetic code in two manners: having more than one tRNA (with a specific anti-codon) for a particular amino acid; and 'wobble' base-pairing, i.e. permitting non-standard base-pairing at the 3rd anti-codon position. Lineage: Bacteria; Pseudomonadati; Myxococcota; Myxococcia. The record is from RNAcentral.
GGAGAUGUCCUACGGUAGGACGUCGGUCUUGAAAGCCGAAAGAGCGGGUUCAAUUCCCGCUCUCCA